This 253-nucleotide ribosomal RNA is filed under the name uncultured bacterium. Its description in RNAcentral is "partial 16S ribosomal RNA". It matches the Rfam family "Bacterial small subunit ribosomal RNA", at positions 524 to 776 of the family's 1533-position model. The record is from RNAcentral.
GACGGAGGGUGCGAGCGUUAUCCGGAAUCACUGGGUUUAAAGGGUGCGUAGGCGGGGUGAUAAGUCAGAGGUGAAAUCUCGUCGCUUAACGACGGAAUUGCCUUUGAUACUGUUAUUCUUGAAAUAUGUUGAGGUUGGCGGAAUGAGACACGUAGCGGUGAAAUGCAUAGAUAUGUCUUAGAACACCGAUUGCGAAGGCAGCUGACUGGACAUUAUUUGACGCUGAGGCACGAAAGCGUGGGGAUCAAACAGG